AUCUAUGGCCAUACCAUCCUGAACUUGCCUAAUCUUGUCUGAUUUCAGAAGCUAAGCAGGGUCAGGCCUGGUUAGUACGUGGAUGGGAGAAGCUAUACUGAUU
Molecule: ribosomal RNA, 103 nt
Organism: Prolemur simus (greater bamboo lemur)
Lineage: Eukaryota; Metazoa; Chordata; Mammalia; Primates; Lemuridae
Source: Ensembl